AACGAACGCUGGCGGCAGGCCUAACACAUGCAAGUCGAACGCCGUAGCAAUACGGAGUGGCAGACGGGUGAGUAACGCGUGGGAACAUACCCCUCGGUUCGGAAUAACUCAGGGAAACUUGAGCUAAUACCGGAUACGUCCGAGGUUUUGAUCGACCUUGGAGAAAGAUUUAUCGCCGAAGGAUUGGCCCGCGUCUGAUUAGCUUGUUGGUGAGGUAAUGGCUCACCAAGGCGACGAUCAGUAGCUGGUCUGAGAGGAUGAUCGGCCACAUUGGGACUGAGACACGGCCCAAACUCCUACGGGAGGCAGCAGUGGGGAUAUUGGACAAUGGGCGAAGCCUGAUCCAGCCAUGCCGCGUGAGUGAUGAAGGCC
This 372-nucleotide ribosomal RNA is filed under the name uncultured bacterium. RNAcentral's name for it is "bacterial SSU rRNA". It matches the Rfam family "Bacterial small subunit ribosomal RNA", at positions 29 to 416 of the family's 1533-position model. The record is from RNAcentral.